Molecule: ribosomal RNA, 497 nt
Filed under: uncultured bacterium
Lineage: Bacteria
Description: partial 16S ribosomal RNA
Rfam family: Bacterial small subunit ribosomal RNA
Source: RNAcentral
GAUGAACGCUGGCGGCGUGCCUAAUACAUGCAAGUCGAGCGAACAGACGAGGAGCUUGCUCCUCUGACGUUAGCGGCGGACGGGUGAGUAACACGUGGAUAACCUACCUAUAAGACUGGGAUAACUUCGGGAAACCGGAGCUAAUACCGGAUAAUAUAUUGAACCGCAUGGUUCAAUAGUGAAAGACGGUUUUGCUGUCACUUAUAGAUGGAUCCGCGCCGCAUUAGCUAGUUGGUAAGGUAACGGCUUACCAAGGCGACGAUGCGUAGCCGACCUGAGAGGGUGAUCGGCCACACCGGAACUGAGACACGGUCCAGCCUCCUACGGGAGGCAGCAGUAGGGAAUCUUCCGCAAUGGGCGAAAGCCUGACGGAGCAACGCCGCGUGAGUGAUGAAGGUCUUCGGAUCGUAAACCUCUGUUAUUAGGGAAGACCAAAUGUGUAAGUAACUAUGCACGUCUUGACGGUACCUAAUCAGAAAGCCACGGCUAACUACGUG